Artibeus jamaicensis (Jamaican fruit-eating bat) is the source of this 180-nucleotide long non-coding RNA. RefSeq lists it as uncharacterized. The record is from RefSeq and is a predicted model, not a curated record. Lineage: Eukaryota; Metazoa; Chordata; Mammalia; Chiroptera; Phyllostomidae. The transcript is spliced from 3 exons.
GCUAAACAUGAAAAGAUUUCUAAGACAUCGUAUCUGCAAACAGUUGCAGAAUGGAUUACUUGUCUGCAAGAAUGGAAGCAGGGGGAGCUGUUAGGAGGCUAUUUCAACAGACCAGCAGAAAGAUAGAAGGAGAUUUGGGAUAUCCUGGAGACAAACCAAGAAUUAUUCAUAAGGAAUCUG